CGGACGCCUCCUUCAAUGGUGGACGGCCUUAAGCCAGGGCAGAGGAAGGUUUUGUUCUGCUCCUUCAAGAAGAAUCUGGUUAAAGAAACCAAGGUGGCAGAUUUUAUUAGUUAUGUGUCAAAACACUCGGCAUACACCCACGGUGAGCAGAGUCUGGCAUGCGUGAUCAUACGAAUGGCUCAAGAUUUUGUUGGCGCCAAUAACAUUAACCUUUUGGAGCCCCGCGGGCAGUAUGGUACCAGGAAUUCGGGGGGCGAAGAUGCUGCUGAAGCCUUGUUCAUCUACACCAGAUUACAACCUAUCGCCCGUUUAAUUUUUCCGAAGGACGACGAUGCUCUGCUCAACUACUUGACUGAAGCUGGAAAGUCAAUUGAACCCAGUUGGUAUAUGCCAAUCAUUCCCAUGGUUUUGGUCAAUGGGAGUGGCAUUGGCACUGGAUCGAGCAGCUAUGUCCCAAACUACAAUCCAAGGGACAUUAUCGCUAAUCUGAAAAGGUUGCUAAAUGAAGAGGCUGUCGUACCAAUGGAACCUUGGUACAAGGGUUUCAAGGGCUCUGUGAAGAAGACAAGGUCAAAGGCAGCGGGUGCCACAUAUACCAUCAGUGGUGUUAUAGAGAAGGUUGAUGACACCAAGCUUAGAAUUACUGAGCUUCCCAUCCGCUGCUGGACUAACGAUUACAAAGAGUUUCUUGAAUCCAUACAUGUUUGGAAAGAACCAACGUUUCUAGAGGAAUGCCAAUCACGAUGCGAUCAUGCAAGUGUGGAGUUUGAGGUUAUCUUGAGUGAGCAAAACAUGAAUGUUGCUACGCGAGAAGGCCUUGAGAAGAAAUUCAAGCUGACAACCACAAUAGAAACAACAAACAUGCACUUGCUCGACUCGGAUGGAAAAAUUCGAAAAUAUAACACCCCAGAGGACAUACUUAAAGAGUUCUUUAAACUGAGGCUCGAAUACUAUUGGAGAAGAAAGGCAGUAAUGUUGAAAAAUAUUGGGAAAGAGUUGUUGAAGCCUAAGAACCAAGUGAGGUUUAUUCUUGCUGUUAUUUCCGGGGACAUCGUGGUCAAUAACAGGAAGAGGGCAGAGCUAUUCCUGGAGCUUAAGCAGAAGGGCUAUCAACCUUUCCCACAGAAAAAAGUUGUAGCUAAUGAAGUAGACGAGGAAAGUAAUUAUGAGUACCUUCUCGCAAUGCCGAUUGGUAACUUGACACUGGAGAAAGUACAGGAGCUCCUUGCAGAACAGAAGAAAUUAGAGGACGAACAUGAAUUUCUAGGCAAAGCAACUCCGGAAAUUCUUUGGCUGAGAGACCUUGAUGCUCUUGAAAAGGAACUGGAUGUGCUUGAUGCAAAAUUUCAAGCUGAACAGGAGGAGACAAGACGUAAGCGGGAAAAUUACUUCAAAGACGAGAAGGCGUCUAAAGCCGCACCCAAGAGACGACGGCCUAAUAAGACUGCAGCCAAAUCUCAGAAG
RNAcentral lists this ribosomal RNA (1464 nucleotides) under Triticum aestivum (bread wheat). Its description in RNAcentral is "partial small subunit ribosomal RNA". Lineage: Eukaryota; Viridiplantae; Streptophyta; Magnoliopsida; Poales; Poaceae. The record is from RNAcentral.